AGGAAGGGUUAAUGUGUGCUAAUGGGUACCUGUCUUUUACUUUGCUGCUUUCCUAGGCAGUUGUCAAUAAUGUGUUAGUGGGAGAGUACCUCAGAAUGGCAGAAACAAUAACAGCAAGCAACAUAUGUGAAACAACACUGAGCAGCAAAGUUGAUUGUGAACAACACACUCAUGCUCCUUCACAACCUCCUAGCAAACUUCAGAUAUGAUGAGUAUCCAUGGGAAGAUUUGCCUAGGACGAUACCUCAACCAUCAUUCAAGUUCCAGAUAGCUAAUACAUUUUUGUGUAACAUUGCUGGUAAAUAAAAAUAAUAGUUUGACUCAAUAAUGUUAUAUAUCAAUUUCUGGC
RNAcentral lists this long non-coding RNA (349 nucleotides) under Rattus norvegicus (Norway rat). RNAcentral describes it as "long non-coding RNA NONRATT033738". The record is from RNAcentral. Lineage: Eukaryota; Metazoa; Chordata; Mammalia; Rodentia; Muridae.